Molecule: ribosomal RNA, 2928 nt
Filed under: Bacillus amyloliquefaciens
Lineage: Bacteria; Bacillati; Bacillota; Bacilli; Caryophanales; Bacillaceae
Description: 23S ribosomal RNA
Rfam family: Bacterial large subunit ribosomal RNA
Source: RNAcentral
GGUUAAGUUAGAAAGGGCGCACGGUGGAUGCCUUGGCACUAGGAGCCGAUGAAGGACGGGACGAACACCGAUAUGCUUCGGGGAGCUGUAAGCAAGCUUUGAUCCGGAGAUUUCCGAAUGGGGAAACCCACCACUCGUAAUGGAGUGGUAUCCAUAUCUGAAUACAUAGGAUAUGAGAAGGCAGACCCGGGGAACUGAAACAUCUAAGUACCCGGAGGAAGAGAAAGCAAAUGCGAUUCCCUGAGUAGCGGCGAGCGAAACGGGACCAGCCCAAACCAAGAGGCUUGCCUCUUGGGGUUGUAGGACACUCUGUACGGAGUUACAAAGGAACGAGGUAGAUGAAGAGGUCUGGAAAGGCCCGCCAUAGGAGGUAACAGCCCUGUAGUCAAAACUUCGUUCUCUCCUGAGUGGAUCCUGAGUACGGCGGAACACGUGAAAUUCCGUCGGAAUCCGGGAGGACCAUCUCCCAAGGCUAAAUACUCCCUAGUGACCGAUAGUGAACCAGUACCGUGAGGGAAAGGUGAAAAGCACCCCGGAAGGGGAGUGAAAGAGAUCCUGAAACCGUGUGCCUACAAGUAGUCAGAGCCCGUUAACGGGUGAUGGCGUGCCUUUUGUAGAAUGAACCGGCGAGUUACGAUCCCGUGCAAGGUUAAGCAGAAGAUGCGGAGCCGCAGCGAAAGCGAGUCUGAAUAGGGCGAAUUGAGUACGUGGUCGUAGACCCGAAACCAGGUGAUCUACCCAUGUCCAGGGUGAAGUUCAGGUAACACUGAAUGGAGGCCCGAACCCACGCACGUUGAAAAGUGCGGGGAUGAGGUGUGGGUAGGGGUGAAAUGCCAAUCGAACCUGGAGAUAGCUGGUUCUCUCCGAAAUAGCUUUAGGGCUAGCCUCAAGGUAAGAGUCUCGGAGGUAGAGCACUGAUUGGACUAGGGGCCCUACCGGGUUACCGAAUUCAGUCAAACUCCGAAUGCCGAUGACUUAUCCUUGGGAGUCAGACUGCGAGUGAUAAGAUCCGUAGUCGAAAGGGAAACAGCCCAGACCGCCAGCUAAGGUCCCAAAGUAUACGUUAAGUGGAAAAGGAUGUGGAGUUGCUUAGACAACCAGGAUGUUGGCUUAGAAGCAGCCACCAUUUAAAGAGUGCGUAAUAGCUCACUGGUCGAGUGACUCUGCGCCGAAAAUGUACCGGGGCUAAACGUAUCACCGAAGCUGCGGACUGUUCUUCGAACAGUGGUAGGAGAGCGUUCUAAGGGCUGUGAAGCAAGACCGGAAGGACUUGUGGAGCGCUUAGAAGUGAGAAUGCCGGUAUGAGUAGCGAAAGAGGGGUGAGAAUCCCCUCCACCGAAUGCCUAAGGUUUCCUGAGGAAGGCUCGUCCGCUCAGGGUUAGUCGGGACCUAAGCCGAGGCCGAAAGGCGUAGGCGAUGGAUAACAGGUUGAUAUUCCUGUACCACCUCCUCACCAUUUGAGCAAUGGGGGACGCAGGAGGAUAGGGUAAGCGCGGUAUUGGAUAUCCGCGUCCAAGCAGUUAGGCUGGGAAAUAGGCAAAUCCGUUUCCCGUGAAGGCUGAGCUGUGAUGGCGAGCGAAUUAUAGUAGCGAAGUUCCUGAUUCCACACUGCCAAGAAAAGCCUCUAGCGAGGUGAGAGGUGCCCGUACCGCAAACCGACACAGGUAGGCGAGGAGAGAAUCCUAAGGUGAUCGAGAGAACUCUCGUUAAGGAACUCGGCAAAAUGACCCCGUAACUUCGGGAGAAGGGGUGCUCUGUUAGGGUGCAAGCCCGAGAGAGCCGCAGUGAAUAGGCCCAGGCGACUGUUUAGCAAAAACACAGGUCUCUGCGAAGCCGUAAGGCGAAGUAUAGGGGCUGACGCCUGCCCGGUGCUGGAAGGUUAAGAGGAGCGCUUAGCGUAAGCGAAGGUGCGAAUUGAAGCCCCAGUAAACGGCGGCCGUAACUAUAACGGUCCUAAGGUAGCGAAAUUCCUUGUCGGGUAAGUUCCGACCCGCACGAAAGGCGCAACGAUCUGGGCACUGUCUCAACGAGAGACUCGGUGAAAUUAUAGUACCUGUGAAGAUGCAGGUUACCCGCGACAGGACGGAAAGACCCCGUGGAGCUUUACUGCAGCCUGAUAUUGAAUGUUGGUACAGCUUGUACAGGAUAGGUAGGAGCCUUGGAAACCGGAGCGCCAGCUUCGGUGGAGGCAUCGGUGGGAUACUACCCUGGCUGUAUUGACCUUCUAACCCGCCGCCCUUAUCGGGCGGGGAGACAGUGUCAGGUGGGCAGUUUGACUGGGGCGGUCGCCUCCUAAAAGGUAACGGAGGCGCCCAAAGGUUCCCUCAGAAUGGUUGGAAAUCAUUCGCAGAGUGUAAAGGCACAAGGGAGCUUGACUGCGAGACCUACAAGUCGAGCAGGGACGAAAGUCGGGCUUAGUGAUCCGGUGGUUCCGCAUGGAAGGGCCAUCGCUCAACGGAUAAAAGCUACCCCGGGGAUAACAGGCUUAUCUCCCCCAAGAGUCCACAUCGACGGGGAGGUUUGGCACCUCGAUGUCGGCUCAUCGCAUCCUGGGGCUGUAGUCGGUCCCAAGGGUUGGGCUGUUCGCCCAUUAAAGCGGUACGCGAGCUGGGUUCAGAACGUCGUGAGACAGUUCGGUCCCUAUCCGUCGCGGGCGCAGGAAAUUUGAGAGGAGCUGUCCUUAGUACGAGAGGACCGGGAUGGACGCACCGCUGGUGUACCAGUUGUUCUGCCAAGGGCAUCGCUGGGUAGCUAUGUGCGGACGGGAUAAGUGCUGAAAGCAUCUAAGCAUGAAGCCCCCCUCAAGAUGAGAUUUCCCAUUCCGCAAGGAAGUAAGAUCCCUGAAAGAUGAUCAGGUUGAUAGGUCUGAGGUGGAAGUGUGGCGACACAUGGAGCUGACAGAUACUAAUCGAUCGAGGACUUAACCAA